GUGCUUCCUUUGGCAGCACAUAUACUAAAUUAGAAUGAUACAGAGAUUAGGCUGACCUCUGCAAAAGGAUGCCAUGCAAAUUUGUGAAGCGUCCCAUAUUAAA
Molecule: small nuclear RNA, 103 nt
Organism: Zalophus californianus (California sea lion)
Lineage: Eukaryota; Metazoa; Chordata; Mammalia; Carnivora; Otariidae
Source: Ensembl